This 615-nucleotide ribosomal RNA is filed under the name uncultured bacterium. Its description in RNAcentral is "bacterial SSU rRNA". It matches the Rfam family "Bacterial small subunit ribosomal RNA", at positions 60 to 669 of the family's 1533-position model. The record is from RNAcentral.
AGUCGAGCGGAGAUGAGGUGCUUGCACCUUAUCUUAGCGGCGGACGGGUGAGUAAUGCUUAGGAAUCUGCCUAUUAGUGGGGGACAACAUUCCGAAAGGAAUGCUAAUACCGCAUACGUCCUACGGGAGAAAGCAGGGGAUCUUCGGACCUUGCGCUAAUAGAUGAGCCUAAGUCGGAUUAGCUAGUUGGUGGGGUAAAGGCCUACCAAGGCGACGAUCUGUAGCGGGUCUGAGAGGAUGAUCCGCCACACUGGGACUGAGACACGGCCCAGACUCCUACGGGAGGCAGCAGUGGGGAAUAUUGGACAAUGGGGGGAACCCUGAUCCAGCCAUGCCGCGUGUGUGAAGAAGGCCUUAUGGUUGUAAAGCACUUUAAGCGAGGAGGAGGCUACUGAGACUAAUACUCUUGGAUAGUGGACGUUACUCGCAGAAUAAGCACCGGCUAACUCUGUGCCAGCAGCCGCGGUAAUACAGAGGGUGCGAGCGUUAAUCGGAUUUACUGGGCGUAAAGCGUGCGUAGGCGGCUUUUUAAGUCGGAUGUGAAAUCUCCGAGCUUAACUUGGGAAUUGCAUUCGAUACUGGGAAGCUAGAGUAUGGGAGAGGAUGGUAGAAUUC